UACGGAGGGGGCUAGCGUUGUUCGGAAUUACUGGGCGUAAAGCGCGCGUAGGCGGACCUGCAAGUCGGGGGUGAAAGCCCGAGGCUCAACCUCGGAACUGCCUUCGAUACUGCGGGUCUCGAGUCCGGGAGAGGUGAGUGGAAUUCCGUAGUGUAGAGGUGAAAUUCGUAGAUAUUAGGAAGAACACCAGUGGCGAAGGCGGCUCACUGG
This 210-nucleotide ribosomal RNA is filed under the name uncultured bacterium. Its description in RNAcentral is "partial 16S ribosomal RNA". It matches the Rfam family "Bacterial small subunit ribosomal RNA", at positions 524 to 732 of the family's 1533-position model. The record is from RNAcentral.